UGUCACGAGCUGGAGUCGAACCAGCACCUCUGGGAAAUGAAUACAAUCCCAGCGAACUACCAUUAAUUCUAAUCGUGAC
This 79-nucleotide transfer RNA is filed under the name Cannabis sativa. RNAcentral describes it as "tRNA-Thr". The record is from RNAcentral. Lineage: Eukaryota; Viridiplantae; Streptophyta; Magnoliopsida; Rosales; Cannabaceae.